This 465-nucleotide ribosomal RNA is filed under the name uncultured bacterium. Its description in RNAcentral is "partial 16S ribosomal RNA". It matches the Rfam family "Bacterial small subunit ribosomal RNA", at positions 28 to 507 of the family's 1533-position model. The record is from RNAcentral.
GACGAACGCUGGCGGCGUGCUUAACACAUGCAAGUCGAACGGAAAGGCCCCUUUGGGGGUACUCGAGUGGCGAACGGGUGCGUAACACGUGAGUAACCUGCCCUUGACUUCGGGAUAACUUCAGGAAACUGGGGCUAAUACCGGAUAGGAAUCCUUGCUGCAUGGUGGGGGUUGGAAAGCUUCGGCGGUUUUGGAUGGACUCGCGGCUUAUCAGCUUGUUGGUGGGGUAGUGGCUUACCAAGGCUUUGACGGGUAGCCGGCCUGAGAGGGCGGCCGGCCACAUUGGGACUGAGAUACGGCCCAGACUCCUACGGGAGGCAGCAGUGGGGAAGAUUGCACAAGGGGCGGAAGCCUGAUGCAGCAACGCCGCGUGCGGGAUGACGGCCUUCGGGUUGUAAACCGCUUUCAGCAGGGGCGAAGCUUGUGGUGACGGUACCUGCAGAAGAAGCACCGGCUAACUACGUG